GACGAACGCUGGCGGCGUGCCUAAUACAUGCAAGUCGAACGCACGAAGUUGAAGAGCUUGCUCUUUAACCAAGUGAGUGGCGGACGGGUGAGUAACACGUGGGUAACCUGCCCAUUAGAGGGGGAUAACAUUCGGAAACGGAUGCUAAUACCGCAUAGUUUCAGGAAUCGCAUGAUUCUUGAAGGAAAGGUGGCUUCGGCUACCACUAAUGGAUGGACCCGCGGCGUAUUAGCUAGUUGGUGAGGUAAUGGCUCACCAAGGCAAUGAUACGUAGCCGACCUGAGAGGGUGAUCGGCCACACUGGGACUGAGACACGGCCCAGACUCCUACGGGAGGCAGCAGUAGGGAAUCUUCCGCAAUGGACGAAAGUCUGACGGAGCAACGCCGCGUGAGUGAAGAAGGUUUUCGGAUCGUAAAACUCUGUUGUUAAAGAAGAACAAGGAUGAGAGUAACUGCUCAUCCCCUGACGGUAUUUAACCAGAAAGCCACGGCUAACUACGUGCCAGCAGCCGCGGUAAUACGUAGGUGGCAAGCGUUGUCCGGAUUUAUUGGGCGUAAAGCGAGCGCAGGCGGUUCUUUAAGUCUGAUGUGAAAGCCCCCGGCUCAACCGGGGAGGGUCAUUGGAAACUGGAGAACUUGAGUGCAGAAGAGGAGAGUGGAAUUCCACGUGUAGCGGUGAAAAUGCGUAGAUAUGUGGAGGAACACCAGUGGCGAAGGCGACUCUCUGGUCUGUAACUGACGCUGAGGCUCGAAAGCGUGGGGGAGCAAACAGG
RNAcentral lists this ribosomal RNA (773 nucleotides) under uncultured Vagococcus sp. RNAcentral's name for it is "bacterial SSU rRNA". It matches the Rfam family "Bacterial small subunit ribosomal RNA", at positions 28 to 776 of the family's 1533-position model. Lineage: Bacteria; Bacillati; Bacillota; Bacilli; Lactobacillales; Enterococcaceae. The record is from RNAcentral.